AUGACCGGCUCUGGGCUCCUGGGGAGCUUGCAUGUGGCUCAGCUGCCAGCCUGCCUGCUGUGUCCAAGGCUGUGCCUGCUGUGGACAUCUGAUGUAAACAGAGACCAUGCCCUGGUUGCCCGGGCCCAGCAUAUGGUGACUUUCGACAGCCAGGUGUGGGACCUCAGCACCCAGUGUGGCAGCAUCCUGCUGGUCCAAGACUUUGCUCACAACACAUUCUCCCUGCUGCUGAGUUGGACGGAUUCGGGGCUCACGGCCCUGAUUGUGGAGCUGAACCACGUGACCGUCAUCUUCUACCCCAGCUUGCAGGUGAGGAGGAGAGACCCGAGCUUCCCCCAGAGACCUGUGCCUGUGGCAGGUUGCCUGGGGAGAUGGCCCUUUCAAACUUGUCCCCUGGCUGUGGGUCAGCCCUCCUGCCUACCCCAUCUGGUCCGCAGGCCUACAGCCUGUACAACUCUUCCCUGCCAGGGGAGAGCUGUCCAGACCUCCAGCUGCUUCUUGCCAUGAAAAGGAGGGACGUCCCCAGGAUUGAGCUGGCCAGUGAGGAUGGGUUCUCCAUCUCCUGUGACAUGCCCACUGGCCUCUGCAGCCUGACUCUAGGCCUCUGGCACCACGGUGAGUCUGGGCCCUGGCAGGGUUGGCCCCACCACCAAGAUCGUUUUCGGGAUGCACCAUUCUCAGCUUCCAGUGUGACAGGUCCCUGGGCUGUGGUUGAGAUGAUGGCACUGAGGUCCAGGGCUUUCUGCCCCCAUCCCUGGGAUAUGUGGCUCCAAGGUGGAUUGGCCUUUCUGUGGUCCCUCUGCCAAGGAACAUAAAGGGUGGGCCUGGAUUCUGGCCACACAAGCUGGGGACGGGGUGGGGGGGACACAUGCUGUCCUUAGACCCUGUGCUUUCUCUCCCGCCUUUGAUGAGUGUAUGGAGCAGAGCCCAUACAGGUGGCAGGAUUCUACCGCUUCUAAUGUGCCUCAGGUUUGUCUCUCAUACAGGUCCCCAGGCUCUCAGGACCUUCUCAGCUUCCCUCCUCCCCACAGGCAUAUCCACUGGCCUUCUGGGCACCAAAGACUAUAAAGCAGGCAAUGAGCUGAUGUUGCCAGAUGGCUCUGUGGCCUGCAGCCUGGAGGAGCUCAGCCUGGCAGGUGAGCAGGUGCACCUGCCCUUCCUCUCUCUGGGUGAGGCUCUUGAGGGCUGCUGGCUCUGCAGAGGUCUUUACAGACCCAGGGUUGGGGGAGUCUACUGCUGAGGCCUAAGUCUUGUGUCUGUCCUACCAGGUGGAUGGUGACUAUAGGGCCACUGAGAAGACUCAGCAGACCUGCCCAGCCUUCUUCCAGGACCCGGGCUCCAGCUUGGGGAACUGCUUCUGGGUGGCAAGUAUGAGCCUGGGCCCUGGGACACAGAAAGCCCCUUCCCCAGUCUACCCUGGGGAGUGGGAUGCAGGAGGGGCCUAAGCUAGAGAGAGUGGGUGGCCCUGAUUUCAGGUGGACCCUGCACCAUUCCUCAGCCUUUGUUUGCCAGACCCCUGUGGCACUGGAGAGCUCCAGCUUGCCUGCACUCUGGCGGCUGCCUACAUUCACCUGUGUGCCCACGGCUUCAUGUCCCUGGCCCCUCCUCCACAGGGCUGUAGGCUGCCCAGCUGGCUGGCACUCUGCCCCCUGUCUGGUAUCUGCCUUCCAGCCGGAGGGAAAACCCAUCUCUCUCUCUUGCCAGGGAGGACAAAUAAUUGGCAUUCAAGGAGCUAAGAGUCAAAACAAAACAUUACAGUCCCCUCCAAAUCUCCUGUUUGUUAGAGGGAAUAUCUCCCUCAUGGAUGGCUUAGCACCCUCUGUUUGGUGAAGCAUGACUUCUUGCUCUAUUAGUUCACAUAAGAGCAGUUUAUUUAUAAAGAGCCUGGCCCCUCCUCUCUCUCUUUGCACCCCCUACUAUUUCUGCCAUGAUCGUAAGCUUCCCGAGGUAUCACCAGAAGCUUUGCUUCUACAGCCUGUGGAACGGUGAGUUAAUUAUAUCUUUUAUUUAUGAACUGUCCAGGCUGGAGUGUAGAGGCACAAUUUUGCCUCAUUUCAACUUCCACCUCCCAGGUUCAAGCAAUACUCCUACCUCAGCCUCCCAAAAAUACAGUCAGGUAUUUUUGUAGAGAUGGUGUUUUGCCAUGUUGGCCAGGCUGGUCAUGAAUUCCUGACCUCUGGUGAUCCACCUGCCUCGGCCUCCCAAAGUGCUGGGAUGACAGGCAUGAGCCACCAUGCUCAGCCUCACUAGGGAUUUGGAUGUACACUCCCAUUUAGAGAAAAUGCUCAGCCCCUGUUUUUCCUCUGCUCUCAUAGUGCAAAAAUCAUCUGCCUUCUGUGAGCAAAUGUGUGGGGGUUUGUCCCCACUACCAGUGUGGACCUCUAUUUCAGUUCUAACAGUAGCUACCUUGAGAUUCUUUAGCCCAUGCUGCAUAUGAUUGCUACAGCCAAAGCCCCACUAAAAGGGCAUACAGGUCAGUAUCAACAACAGGAGUGGACUUCCAAGAGCUACAGAUGCCAGAAUUCAUGGCUGCCAUUCAUAGACAUUUAAAACUUAAUCAGUUGGAAAAUAUGACAAAGGGAGGAUCCAACAUGUCUCAAAGAAAUUCCAGGCUAACUGUGGUGGCUCAUCCCUGUAAUCCUAGCACUUGGGAGGCCAAGAUGAGUGGAUCACCUAAGGUCAGGAGUUUGAGACCAAUCUGGCCAACGUGGUGAAAACCCAUCUCUACUAAAAAUACAAAAAUUAGCCAGGAAUGGUGAUAUGUGCCUUUAAUUCCAGCUACUUGGGAGGCUGAGGCAGGAGAAAUGCUUGAAACCAGAAGGUAGAGGUGCCUGGUGA
Saimiri boliviensis boliviensis (Bolivian squirrel monkey) is the source of this 2838-nucleotide long non-coding RNA. Lineage: Eukaryota; Metazoa; Chordata; Mammalia; Primates; Cebidae. The record is from Ensembl.